RNAcentral lists this ribosomal RNA (599 nucleotides) under Anaplasma phagocytophilum. RNAcentral's name for it is "bacterial SSU rRNA". It matches the Rfam family "Bacterial small subunit ribosomal RNA", at positions 839 to 1435 of the family's 1533-position model. Lineage: Bacteria; Pseudomonadati; Pseudomonadota; Alphaproteobacteria; Rickettsiales; Anaplasmataceae. The record is from RNAcentral.
CUCUGUGUUGUAGCUAACGCGUUAAGCACUCCGCCUGGGGACUACGGUCGCAAGACUAAAACUCAAAGGAAUUGACGGGGACCCGCACAAGCGGUGGAGCAUGUGGUUUAAUUCGAUGCAACGCGAAAAACCUUACCACUCCUUGACAUGGAGAUUAGAUCCUUCUUAACGGAAGGGCGCAGUUCGGCUGGAUCUCGCACAGGUGCUGCAUGGCUGUCGUCAGCUCGUGUCGUGAGAUGUUGGGUUAAGUCCCGCAACGAGCGUAACCCUCAUCCUUAGUUGCCAGCGGGUUAAGCCGGGCACUUUAAGGAAACUGCCAGUGGUAAACUGGAGGAAGGUGGGGAUGAUGUCAAGUCAGCACGGCCCUUAUGGGGUGGGCUACACACGUGCUACAAUGGUGACUACAAUAGGUUGCAAUGUCGCAAGGCUGAGCUAAUCCGUAAAAGUCAUCUCAGUUCGGAUUGUCCUCUGCAACUCGAGGGCAUGAAGUCGGAAUCGCUAGUAAUCGUGGAUCAGCAUGCCACGGUGAAUACGUUCUCGGGUCUUGUACACACUGCCCGUCACGCCAUGGGAAUUGGCUUAACUCGAAGCUGGUGCGC